This is a long non-coding RNA of Cygnus olor (mute swan), 1322 nucleotides long. RefSeq lists it as uncharacterized. The transcript has 3 exons. NCBI's taxonomy places the organism in Eukaryota, Metazoa, Chordata, Aves, Anseriformes, Anatidae. The record is from RefSeq and is a predicted model, not a curated record.
GUAAAAUGAAGAAUUUAAUUGAAAUGAAUCUUAAUUUUUUACAGUAUUUAUUGUGAAGUCCUUUCAUUCUGAAGACCUUCCAAGUGUUUUAGGGCAAUAUAGGUAAUUAAAUCCCUUUUAGGGCUACAUAGGUAAUUAAAUCCCAACGUGCAAGUUCAGUUUGUAAGGGAAUGCUUGAAAGUUGGGGAUUAAGAAAAAUACUUUUUUCAGUGUUACUUUAUCAUGGUCUAUGACAGCAUUAUCAACAUGAAGAGCACCUAUAACAGCUGUAAUGAUGAUUUUAUUGUUUAUCAUGAGCCAAAAAGAGGUGUCUGUGGGGGGAAAUUACCCAGCCUGUGGGUAUAUAGAGAUUGCAGCCAAGGGUUUGUGGGAUUCUGUGAUACAUAAGGGCACAGAUUUGUUUACUAACAUUCCUGUUUUUUACAAAUCAACAAAUCACCACGAGGAAGUAUACUAUGAUUAAUAAAUAAGGUGAAUUUGUGUGUGUGUGACCAUCCCAGGACAGGUCCCAGAAGGGAACCAAAAUAAAUAAGUAAAUUCCUUUUCAUAUCACUGAGACAUAAGAGGCCAUAGGACACUGUCAUGUAGGUAACGAAAGGCUGCUGUUAAUUUGUCUUCCUUGGACAGCCAAUAGAUAGUGUUUCUUGUUUUUCUUUAUUUCUUUUUAAAUGCAUUUUAUUUCACGUCGACUCCCACUUUCUUGGGAGAGAAGUGGUCCCGCAGUUUCUCGUUUAGUCUUUACCUUUGGUACGUUCAGGCAGUGCCACGUGAGGUGCUCAGCUGCACGUCAGGACCGUGCCAGGCUCCCAGCCCUGAGGCUGAGGUGCCCAGGCCUGCUGCCAGGCAGGCCUCAGGCUGGCAGCCAUUUUCUCUCUGAGGUGUUCAGCCGCCAUUUUGUGACAGAACUUGGCUCGUCACAAACGGGUUGCCUCUGUAACUGCUCUGAUAACUCAACUUCUUAUCAGUUUACAUCUAUGAAACUGAGCUUAAAAAGUGGUUCUUUUGGAGUAGCUGAUCAGUACUGGAAGUUGGUGAAGAACUUAAGUUGGCCAGGACCUCCCGAGAUCCUCCCUCAAUCUGCUGGAGUUGCUGUACCUAUUGCAGUCCAAGUUGCUGCUCACCACUGUUGCUUCAGGGCCUUGCCGAUGGCUUUGCAGUCAGCUUGGUGACCACCAGGAGCUCCAGGUCUUUCUCUGCAGAGCUGCUGUCCAGUCACAAUCGCUCAUUGCUCCAAGCAAACCAGCUGGUAUAGCACAGAGCUAUGAAAAAACAAUGGAAGAUAAAUUCAGAGGGCAGAGUUGGUUGUCUUACAAGAGAUCUUU